Sarcophilus harrisii (Tasmanian devil) is the source of this 5317-nucleotide long non-coding RNA. The record is from Ensembl. Lineage: Eukaryota; Metazoa; Chordata; Mammalia; Dasyuromorphia; Dasyuridae.
UAUAAUUCUUACUCCUUGACUCUUCCAAAAUAUCCUCGAAAUCCCCUGUUCCUUUAAUGUGGAAACCACUAAAUCUUGCGUGAUCCUUACUGUAUCUAUCUCCAUGAUAUCUGAUUUGUUUUUGGCUGCUUUAAAUAUUUUUUCCUGGAUUGGGAGCUUUGGAAUUUGAGCAUAAUAUUCCUAGGAGUUUUAAUUUUGGGGUUUCUUUCAGUAGAUUUUCAGUGGAUUCUUUUAAUUUCUAUUUUACCCUCUGGUUCUAAAAUAGCAACUUCUUAAAAUAUGUUUAGGCUACUUUUUAAAAUCAUGGCUUUCAGAUAGUCCAAUAAUUCUUAAAUGAUUUAUACUCACUGUAUUUUCCAGGUCUUUUGUUUUUGUUUUUGUUUUGUUUUUUAAUGAGAUAUAUUACAUUUUCUUCUUUGUCAUCCUUUUGAAAUUGUUCUGUUUCUACUUGGGCAAUUAUAACUUUAAGGUUUUUUUCUUUUCUAUCUUGUACCUCUUUUAUCCCUUGUUCAAUUAUGCCUUUAAAUUUUUUUUUUCUCACUGAAUUGUUGCCCCUCUUUUAUCAUGAAGCUAAUAGUUUUUUAAGGUGACAUUCCCUUCAGUAUUUUUUGUGCCUCUCUUACCAGUUAAUUCCAUUUUAAUAAUUUUCUUGUUUCCCUCUCAUUUAUUUUCCCAAUUUUUCACUACUAUUCUUAUUUGAUUUUUAAGAUCACUUUUCUUUUUGUUCUUUCUUUGCGCUUUAGGAAUUUCUGUUGGGCUUGUGUACAGUUUGCAUGGGUUGGGUUUUGGGGUUUUUUUAGGUUUUGCUUAUAACCUUUUAAAAACUGUUUUCUUCUGAGUUUGUGUCUUUAUCAUCCUCAUCGCCAUAGGAUUUUUUUUUAUUUCCUUUUUUAUUGCUUUCUCCUUUUACAGUCUAUUUGAACUUUAUGGGGAAGUUCUGGGGAAGGAGAAGUAGGAGUAAAGAUUGUCAUAAGCUUCAGGCUUUUUCACAACUAGUUCUGGAGCUGUAUGGUGAGCUUUUUUUGGUUGUUUCCAAGAUGCUGUGAUCUGCAGAGAGGUGUAGCCACCCCUCUCCCAUGACCAAAAAGUUUGAGAAUUGUUACUCUAUAUUAUUUCAUUUAAUGAUCUUAUCAGCUUCUAUAGAUUUAAUUAUGAUGAAUAAGCAAAUGAUUCUUAGAUCUAUGUUUCUAACCGUAAUCUUCUGACCUUCAGUCUCAAAUCUGUCUAUCAAAUCUAUCAAAUCAAAUCUUAAAACUAUACACACUAUAGUCAUAUAACCUGGCUCAUAACCUCAGUUACCCUUUAUUCCUCAUUCUCUCACUCCUUUCCAUCAUAUCUAAUCUAUUGACAAGUCCUAUCAGUUCUACCUUUGAAACAUUUCUUGUAUAUGGUCUCUCUCCCCUAAUAUUGCUUUUUCUUGGUAUAGGCUUUCAUUAAUUCACAUGAAAUAUUGCAAUAGCCUUCUGAAAUGCCUUCCUACUCUUCAAGUCUAUCCUCUACUCAGCUAUCAAAGUGAUCUUCCUAAAACACAAGUGUAACCAUGCUAAACCAAAUUUGAUAAAUUCUAGUGACUCCCUAUUACCUCCAAGAUUAAAUAUAAAAUUCUGGCUUUAACAGCCUUUCAUGGGGGCGGAGCCAAGAUGGCAGAGAGGACACACACUUUUUUCUAAUCUUUUCCCAUGACCCUCAGCUAAUUACCAAAUUCAGCCUCUGAAUUAAUUCUGGACUGGCAGAAUCCACAAAUAUUGGGAGUGCAGCAAAUUAAUAGCAGAAGAUAAUUUCGAAGAUUCCUAGAAAAGGUUUGUUUUGAUUGGGCACAGAAGAUGACAAGCAGCUGGAGCACAGACACCAGCACAUGCUUUGCAGCCCCAGGGCUGGGUGUCAGAGAAUAUAGGGAGAAGAUUCUAAAGCAGUGUAGGAUACUAUGUCCUGGUUUCAAGCCAGUAGAUCAGCAGAGAAGUUAUAAAAUAUCCAACACAAACACAGAAGGUAGAGUGACCCCCCAAAAUACCCGAGUCUCAUAGGACCAGGCCGCACCCACCCAGCCCUGGAAAUGAGUCAACACAGGCUCACCACAGCUGCUGCCACUUUGCAUGUGCCUAUAGAGGAAGCUUGGAAAAGCACCCUUGCCCUAAAAGCAGAUUCCAACUAUUUUUUUUUUAAUGAGUAAAAGGGCAAAGAGAACUCUGACCAUAAAUGGUUUUUGUGUUGAAAGGGAAGAACAGAUUUCAAACCCUGAGAAGACUAAAAGCAGAUUGUCACCAGAUGAAGCCCCAAAGGGUGGUAUAAAUUGGUCCCCACAAAAGGCUCUCUUAGAAAAAAUUAUAAAGGAUCUUAAAAGAGAGCUAGAAGAAAAAUGAGGAAAGUAAAAGAAAACUUUUCAAGAGGGUUUGGAAAAGAUAUAUAACUCGUUAAAAGAUAAGAUUUGACAAAAAGAAAAUAAUUCCCUGAAAAACAGAAUUUGUGAAAUUGAAAAAGUAAAUAACUCCCAGGAAAAGAGAAUUUAUGAAAUGGAAAAAAAAUUCCAUAGAACAAAACAACUCAUUUAAAAACUCAAUUGUACAAAUACAAAAAGAAGUAAAAAAUAAAGAAAAUUCACUAAAAAUCAGAACUGAACAAAUGGAAAUGAGAUAUUAAGAAUCAAUCAAGCAAAACAAAAAAAAAAAAAUAGAAAAAUAGAAAAAAAGUAAAAUACCUACUUGGGAAAACAACUGACCUGGAAAAUACAUCUGGGAGACAUAAUUUAAGGAUUAUUGGACUCCCUGAAAAUCAUGACUAAAAAAAGAGCCUAGACACUAUUUUUCAGGAAAUCAUCAAAGAGAACUUCCCUGAUGUCAUAGAAUCAGAAGAUAAAAUAGUCAUUGAAAGAUUUACAUUUCCUGAAAGAGACCCCAAAAUUAAAACUCCAAGGAAUAUAGUGACUAAUUUCAGAACAAUCAGACCAAGGAAAACAUAUCACAAGCAGCCGGGGGGGGGGGGGGGGAAACAAUUCAAAUACUGAGGAGCCACAAUAAUGAUCACCCAGGAUCUAGCAGCUUUUACCUUAAAGGAUUAAAGGGCCUGGAAUCUGAUAUUCUGAAAGGCAAAAUAAAGAAAAUUCACUAAAAAUCAGAACGGAACAAAUGGAAAUGAAUAACUCAAUGAGAUAUUAAGAAUCAAUCAAGCAAAACCAAAAAAAAAAAAAAAUAGAAAAAUAGAAAAAAAAAGUAAAAUACCUACUUGGGAAAACAACUGACCUGGAAAAUACAUCUGGGAGAGAUAAUUUAAGGAUUAUUGGACUCCCUGAAAAUCAUGACUAAAAAAAGAGCCUAGACACUAUUUUUCAGGAAAUCAUCAAAGAGAAAUUCCCUGAUGUCAUAGAAUCAGAAGAUAAAAUAGUCAUUGAAAGAUUUACAUUUCCUGAAAGAGACCCCAAAAUUAAAACUCCAAGGAAUAUAGUGACUAAUUUCAGAACAAUCAGACCAAGGAAAAAAUAUCACAAGCAGCCAGGGGGGAAAAAAAAAACCAAUUUAAAUACUGAGGAGCCACAAAAGGAUCACCCAGGAUCUAGCAGCUUCCACCUUAAAGGAUUAAAGGGCCUGGAAUCUGAUAUUCUGAAAGGCAAAGGAACUUGGAUGCAGCCAAGAAAAAAACUACCUUGCUAUAAACUGAGCAUUUCCUUCCAGGGAAGAAGGUAGACAUUCAGUGAAACAGGUGAAUUUCAUUUAUUUCUGAUGAAAAGACCAAAGUUAAACAAAAAAUUUGGCCUCCAAAAACAGGAUUCAAGAGAAGCAUAAAAAGGUAAAAAGAACUCUUGAGAAUUGUAUUUCUGUUUUGGGUAUACAUAAAGAGUGCAUGUAUAAUUUGAUUUUACUAUAAUAAUAUAAAAAAGGAACUAGAAGCAGAAAGGGGAUUGUACCAGAAAAAGAGAAAAGUGGAGGUAAAAUGAGGGAAAUUACAGCUCACAAAGCAGCAAAGGAAACCUAUUAUAUUUGAGGGGAAAAGGGGAGGGGAAUAAAUAUUGUGUGAAUCUUACUCUCAUCAAAUUUGGCUCAAAGAGAAAAUAUUAGACAUAUUUGAUUUACAGAGAAACUUCUCUCACCUUAUUGAAAAAGUGGGAGAGGAAAGAUAAAAAGGGAAGGAGUAGGCUAAAUAAAAGGGAAAAUAGAAAUAGGAGGGGAAAGGUAUAAGACAGGGGGAGAGACUCUAAAGAGGAAGGGCUGCUUGAGGCAAGUAGUGCUGAUAAGUUAAAUACUGGGGAGGAGGGAAAGAGCAAAAGGAAAGAGAAAAAUAUAAUCCGAGGAUAAUAAAAUGGCAGGAAAUACAGAAUUAGUAGUUCUAACCAUAAAUGUGAAUGGGGUGAACUCUCCCAUAAAGAAUAAGUGAAUAGCAGACUGGAUUAAAAGCCAAAAUCCUACAAUAUGUUGUUUACAAGAAACACAUUUAAAGCAGAGUGAUACAUACAGAGUAAAAGUAAAAAGAUGGAACAGAAUCUAUUAUGCUUCAGAUAAGUAAAAAAAAGCAGGGGUAGUCAUCUUGAUCUCAGAGUAAGCAAAAGUAAAAAUUGACCUAAUUAAAAGGGAUAAGGAAGGAAACUAUAUCUUGCUAAAGGGUACCAUAGAUAAUGAAGCAAUAUCAAUACUAAACAUAUAUGCACCAAGUGGUAUAGCAUGGAAAUUCCUAAAUUAGAAGUUAAGAGAGUGGCAAGAAGAAAUAGACAGCAAAACUAUAAUAGUGGGAGAUCUCAACCUUGCUCUCUCAGAACUAGAUAAAUCAAACUACAAAAUAAAUAAGAAAGAAGUUAAAGAAGUAAAUAAAAUACUAGAAAAGUAAGAUAUGAUAGAUAUUUGGAGAAAAUUGAAUGGAGACAGAAAGGAGUAUACUUUCUUCUCGGCAGUUCAUGGAACCUAUACAAAAAAAUGACCAUAUAUUAGGACAAUAAAGACCUCAAAAUCAAAUGCAGAAAGUAAGAAAUAGUAAAUGCAUUUUUUCAGAUUAUGAUGCAAUAAAAAUUACAUUCAAUAAAAAACCAGGGAAAAAUAGAUCAAAAAGUAAUUGGAAACUAAAUAAUCUCAUCCUAAAGAAUGAAUGGGUGAAACAGCAAAUCAUAGACACAAUUAAUAAUUUCAUUAAAGAGAAUGACAAUAAUGAGACAACAUACCAAAAUUUGUGAGAUGUAGCCAAAGCAGUAAUAAGGAGAAAUUGUAUAUCUCUAGAUGCUUAAUUACAUAAAAUAGAGAAAGAGAAGAUAAAUGAAUUGGGCUUGCAACUAAAAAAAAAGCUAGAAAAAGAGCAAAUUAAUAUAGAUUUUCAUAACUUCUCCUUUCUACAUUUCCAG